Phyllostomus hastatus (greater spear-nosed bat) is the source of this 576-nucleotide non-coding RNA. The record is from the annotation of a RefSeq genome assembly. Lineage: Eukaryota; Metazoa; Chordata; Mammalia; Chiroptera; Phyllostomidae.
GUGGGGGCUCACAACUGUCUCCUGACAGGGGGCUGAGGUUUCUCGAGAAGGCAGAGCUGUGCUCUAGAGAAGAUGAGACUGCUGGGUCUCCUCCUGUGCCUGGUGACAGCCCCCCUGGGUGUCCUGUCCCAGGUACAGCUGCAGGAGUCGGGCCCAGGACUGGUGAAGCCCUCACAGACCCUCUCCCUCACCUGCACUGUCUCUGGAUUCUCUUUAACAAGCUGGAGUGUGCACUGGGCUCGCCAGGCUCCAGGGAAGGGGCUGGAGUGGGUCGGUGCUAUAUGGAGUGGUGGAAGUACAGACUACAACCCAUCGCUGAAAUCCCGACUCAGCAUCACCAGGGACACCUCCAAGAGCCAAGUUUAUUUAACACUGAGCAGUCUCACAACCGAGGACACAGCCAUGUAUUACUGUGGGAGACACACAGAAAUGGACAUUAAAAGAAGGAAAAUUGAAGAAAGUGCACAUUCAAGCAACAUGAAAACCCCUGCUGGAAAGGUCAGAAUCCAGAACACUGAGAAAAGCAAAUGCUGCUGUGCAUGUGGAGCAAACGGAGCUCUCAUUCCUUACUGGUGA